Molecule: microRNA precursor, 203 nt
Filed under: Oryza meridionalis
Lineage: Eukaryota; Viridiplantae; Streptophyta; Magnoliopsida; Poales; Poaceae
Description: MIR812 microRNA precursor family
Rfam family: MIR812 microRNA precursor family
Source: Rfam by way of RNAcentral
AAAAAGUCAAACCUUGGGUUUCCGUGUCCAACGUUUGACUGUCCGUAUUAUAUGAAAAAUUUUUUAUAAUUAGCAUCUUCAUUGUUGUUAGAUGAUAAAAUAUGAUUAAUACUUUAUACGUGACUUGUCUUUUUAUUUUUUUUCAUACUUUUUUAAAUAAAAUGGACGGUCAAAUGUUGGUCAUGAAAAUGGGUUCAUUUUUU